Molecule: long non-coding RNA, 229 nt
Organism: Physella acuta
Lineage: Eukaryota; Metazoa; Mollusca; Gastropoda; Physidae
Source: RefSeq, a predicted model, not a curated record
CAGGAACAAUUUUUUGUUAGCUCCCCUUCACCAGACAGUACUAGAUCAAUGCAUGAGAAGUGUACACAAACUAUGGAGGUUAUAGAUUUUGAGGAUGAGAACGAUGCUGAGACACAAACUGAAAACAAAAAUAUGAAUGGCAGGGGCAAGAAACGUAAGAAUCCAGCUAAAGUGACACCGCCAACAAAAACAUUCUACGCCUCUAACGUACUGGAAGGGCUUAAGCACG